RNAcentral lists this ribosomal RNA (504 nucleotides) under uncultured bacterium. RNAcentral describes it as "bacterial SSU rRNA". It matches the Rfam family "Bacterial small subunit ribosomal RNA", at positions 36 to 518 of the family's 1533-position model. The record is from RNAcentral.
CUGGCGGCGUGCCUAACACAUGCAAGUCGAACGGGGAUUUGUUUCGGCAGAAUCCUAGUGGCGAACGGGUGAGUAACGCGUAGGCAACCUGCCCUCCGGCCGGGGACAACACUCCGAAAGGGGUGCUAAUACCGGGUACGAAGUCUGUGCCGCAUGGUACGGAUUUGAAAGAUGGCCUCUAUUUAUAAGCUAUCGCCGGGGGAUGGGCCUGCGUCCGAUUAGCUGGUUGGUGGGGUAACGGCCUACCAGGGCGACGAUCGGUAGCCGGUCUGAGAGGAUGAACGGCCACAUUGGGACUGAGACACGGCCCAGACUCCUACGGGAGGCAGCAGUGGGGAAUCUUCCGCAAUGGGCGCAAGCCUGACGGAGCAACGCCGCGUGAGUGAGGAAGUUCUUCGGAACGUAAAGCUCUGUUGUUCCUGACGAACCUCCCUUCUAUCAACAACGGAGGGGACUGACGGUAGGGAACGAGGAAGCCACGGCUAACUACGUGCCAGCCGCAGC